AUUGAACGCUGGCGGCAUGCCUUACACAUGCAAGUCGAACGGCAGCACGGGAGCAAUCCUGGUGGCGAGUGGCGAACGGGUGAGUAAUAUAUCGGAACGUGCCCGGUCGUGGGGAUAACGUAGCGAAAGCUACGCUAAUACCGCAUACGAUCUACGGAUGAAAGCGGGGGAUCGCAAGACCUCGCGCGAUUGGAGCGGCCGAUAUCAGAUUAGGUAGUUGGUGAGGUAAAGGCUCACCAAGCCGACGAUCUGUAGCUGGUCUGAGAGGACGACCAGCCACACUGGAACUGAGACACGGUCCAGUCUCCUACGGGAGGCAGCAGUGGGGAAUUUUGGACAAUGGACGCAAGUCUGAUCCAGCCAUUCCGCGUGCAGGAUGAAGGCCCUCGGGUUGUAAACUGCUUUUGUACGGAACGAAAAGGUUUCUAUUAAUACUAGGAGNUCAUGACGGUACCGUAAGAAUAAGACACCGGCUAACUACGUGCCAG
RNAcentral lists this ribosomal RNA (488 nucleotides) under uncultured bacterium. RNAcentral describes it as "bacterial SSU rRNA". It matches the Rfam family "Bacterial small subunit ribosomal RNA", at positions 30 to 511 of the family's 1533-position model. The record is from RNAcentral.